Octodon degus (degu) is the source of this 106-nucleotide small nuclear RNA. NCBI's taxonomy places the organism in Eukaryota, Metazoa, Chordata, Mammalia, Rodentia, Octodontidae. The record is from Ensembl.
GUUCUGACUUCAGUAACACAUAUACUAAAACUGGAAUAAUACAGAGAGGAUUAGUACAGCUCCUUGCAAGAAUGAUAUGCGAAUUUGUGAAGCAUUCCAUAUUUUG